AGAGAUAGAGAUAGAGAUAUAAAGAGAGAGAGAAGACGCUUUCUCGUAAAUAAAUAAUUUGAUAACCGACGUGAUUUACUAAGAAAAUAUUAAUUUCCAUCUUUAGCGUGUUUACUUUUUUUUUUCUUUUUUUUUUUCUUUUACUUUUUUGGUGUCUCAGAUCUGGGCGUUCGGAUAUCGGAUCGGGUUCGGUUCGGAUUUUUCGGUUUUCGGAUUUUUUAGAUAUUGAUUCUAAC
RNAcentral lists this long non-coding RNA (236 nucleotides) under Capsella rubella. RNAcentral describes it as "long non-coding RNA (CRUB_LNC003776)". The record is from RNAcentral. Lineage: Eukaryota; Viridiplantae; Streptophyta; Magnoliopsida; Brassicales; Brassicaceae.